Molecule: ribosomal RNA, 431 nt
Filed under: uncultured bacterium
Lineage: Bacteria
Description: bacterial SSU rRNA
Rfam family: Bacterial small subunit ribosomal RNA
Source: RNAcentral
ACGCGAAGAACUUACCCAGUCUUGACAUGCAGUGGACGUAUGCAGAAAUGUAUAUUCCCUUCGGGGCCGCUGCACAGGUGCUGCAUGGCUGUCGUCAGCUCGUGCCGUGAGGUGUUGGGUUAAGUCCCGCAACGAGCGCAACCCUUAUCAUUAGUUGCCAACAUUUAAGGUGGGAACUCUAAUGAGACUGCCUGGGUUAACCAGGAGGAAGGUGAGGAUGACGUCAAGUCCGCAUGGCCCUUAUGACUGGGGCUACACACGUGCUACAAUGGUCGGUACAGAAGGCAGCGAAGCCGCGAGGUGAAGCAAAUCCCGAAAGCCGAUCUCAGUUCAGAUUGUAGUCUGCAACUCGACUACAUGAAGAUGGAAUUGCUAGUAAUGGCGAGUCAGCAACAUCGCCGUGAAUACGUUCCCGGGUCUUGUACACACCG